GUACGGGAGGCAGCAGUAAGGAAUAUUGGGCAAUGGACGGAAGUCUGACCCAGCCAUGCCGCGUGGAGGAUGAAGGUCCUCUGGAUUGUAAACUUCUUUUAUCAAUAAAGAAAAGGGUCUUUUCUAAGAUUUUUGACGGUAAUUGAUGAAUAAGCACCGGCUAACUCCGUGCCAGCAGCCGCGGUAAUACGGAGGGUGCAAGCGUUAUCCGGAUUCACUGGGUUUAAAGGGAGCGUAGGUGGGUUUGUAAGUCAGUGGUGAAAUACCCGAGCUUAACUCGGGAACUGCCAUUGAUACUGCGAAUCUUGAAUAUCGUAGAGGUAAGCGGAAUAUGUCAUGUAGCGGUGAAAUGCUUAGAUAUGACAUAGAACACCAAUUGCGAAGGCAGCUUGCUAUGCGAAUAUUGACACUAAUGCUCGAAAGCGUGGGGAUCAAACAGGAUUAGAUACCCGAGUAU
RNAcentral lists this ribosomal RNA (457 nucleotides) under uncultured bacterium. RNAcentral's name for it is "bacterial SSU rRNA". It matches the Rfam family "Bacterial small subunit ribosomal RNA", at positions 339 to 793 of the family's 1533-position model. The record is from RNAcentral.